GUUGUACUCCCUCCGUCCCGAAUUACUUGUUGCACGUAUGGAUGUAUCUAGAUGUGUAUUUUAGUUCUAGAUACAUCCAUUUCAGGGACAAGUAAUUUGGGACGGAGGGAGUAUAUG
Triticum urartu is the source of this 117-nucleotide non-coding RNA. Lineage: Eukaryota; Viridiplantae; Streptophyta; Magnoliopsida; Poales; Poaceae. The record is from Rfam.